UAAUAAUAAAAAGGGAUAACUUCAAAAACCCUCUUGUGGUUUCACACUUUCUCACUAUAGUACUCUGUAAUUUAUAUUGUAUCAAUUUGCCCCCCUAUGGUUUUGUUUUUAUCUUUUCUAUAGUUUUUUUUUAAUAUUUCGUUAAAUUAUAUACAAAAAAACUUCAGAUAACCAUCUAAAUUUAUCGAAUAUUUACUUUUGUACCCUUUAAUUUUAAUUUUGUUACUGAUUUAAGAAAAAAAAAUAAAAUUGAUAAAAAAAAGAGAAAAACGAAACGGCAAAUUGAUACCGUUUAAAUCAUAGGGUACUAAAGUGAGAAAGUACGAAACUACAGGGGGAUUUUUAAAGU
This 349-nucleotide long non-coding RNA is filed under the name Ananas comosus (pineapple). RNAcentral's name for it is "long non-coding RNA (ACOM_LNC038640)". Lineage: Eukaryota; Viridiplantae; Streptophyta; Magnoliopsida; Poales; Bromeliaceae. The record is from RNAcentral.